This 1425-nucleotide ribosomal RNA is filed under the name Microbacterium sp. FSBRN2. RNAcentral describes it as "bacterial SSU rRNA". It matches the Rfam family "Bacterial small subunit ribosomal RNA". Lineage: Bacteria; Bacillati; Actinomycetota; Actinomycetes; Micrococcales; Microbacteriaceae. The record is from RNAcentral.
GCCAUAACGGGGUGCUACACAUGCAGUCGAACGGUGAAGCCAAGCUUGCUUGGUGGAUCAGUGGCGAACGGGUGAGUAACACGUGAGCAACCUGCCCUGGACUCUGGGAUAAGCGCUGGAAACGGCGUCUAAUACUGGAUAUGAGCUCCUUCCGCAUGGUGGGGGUUGGAAAGAUUUUUCGGUCUGGGAUGGGCUCGCGGCCUAUCAGCUUGUUGGUGAGGUAAUGGCUCACCAAGGCGUCGACGGGUAGCCGGCCUGAGAGGGUGACCGGCCACACUGGGACUGAGACACGGCCCAGACUCCUACGGGAGGCAGCAGUGGGGAAUAUUGCACAAUGGGCGGAAGCCUGAUGCAGCAACGCCGCGUGAGGGAUGACGGCCUUCGGGUUGUAAACCUCUUUUAGCAGGGAAGAAGCGAAAGUGACGGUACCUGCAGAAAAAGCGCCGGCUAACUACGUGCCAGCAGCCGCGGUAAUACGUAGGGCGCAAGCGUUAUCCGGAAUUAUUGGGCGUAAAGAGCUCGUAGGCGGUUUGUCGCGUCUGCUGUGAAAUCCCGAGGCUCAACCUCGGGCCUGCAGUGGGUACGGGCAGACUAGAGUGCGGUAGGGGAGAUUGGAAUUCCUGGUGUAGCGGUGGAAUGCGCAGAUAUCAGGAGGAACACCGAUGGCGAAGGCAGAUCUCUGGGCCGUAACUGACGCUGAGGAGCGAAAGGGUGGGGAGCAAACAGGCUUAGAUACCCUGGUAGUCCACCCCGUAAACGUUGGGAACUAGUUGUGGGGACCAUUCCACGGUUUCCGUGACGCAGCUAACGCAUUAAGUUCCCCGCCUGGGGAGUACGGCCGCAAGGCUAAAACUCAAAGGAAUUGACGGGGACCCGCACAAGCGGCGGAGCAUGCGGAUUAAUUCGAUGCAACGCGAAGAACCUUACCAAGGCUUGACAUAUACGAGAACGGGCCAGAAAUGGUCAACUCUUUGGACACUCGUAAACAGGUGGUGCAUGGUUGUCGUCAGCUCGUGUCGUGAGAUGUUGGGUUAAGUCCCGCAACGAGCGCAACCCUCGUUCUAUGUUGCCAGCACGUAAUGGUGGGAACUCAUGGGAUACUGCCGGGGUCAACUCGGAGGAAGGUGGGGAUGACGUCAAAUCAUCAUGCCCCUUAUGUCUUGGGCUUCACGCAUGCUACAAUGGCCGGUACAAAGGGCUGCAAUACCGUAAGGUGGAGCGAAUCCCAAAAAGCCGGUCCCAGUUCGGAUUGAGGUCUGCAACUCGACCUCAUGAAGUCGGAGUCGCUAGUAAUCGCAGAUCAGCAACGCUGCGGUGAAUACGUUCCCGGGUCUUGUACACACCGCCCGUCAAGUCAUGAAAGUCGGUAACACCUGAAGCCGGUUGCGCACAACCCUUGUGGAGGAGGCGUCGGAGUGAUCACCG